GAUGAAGAACGUAGCGAAAUGCGAUAAGUAAUGUGAAUUGCAGAAUUCAGUGAAUCAUCGAAUCUUUGAACGCACAUUGCGCCCGCCAGUAUUCUGGCGGGCAUGCCUGUUCGAGCGUCAUUGCUGCCCUCAAGCACGGCUUGUGUGUUGGGCCCCGUCCUCCGAUCCCGGGGGACGGGCCCGAAAGGCAGCGGCGGCACCGCGUCCGGUCCUCGAGCGUAUGGGGCUUUGUCACCCGCUCUGUAGGCCCGGCCGGCGCUUGCCGAUCAACCCAAAUUUUUAUCCAGGUUGACCUCGGAUCAGGUAGGGAUACCCGCUGAACUUAAGCAUAUCAAUAAGCGGAGGA
Molecule: unclassified non-coding RNA, 346 nt
Filed under: soil metagenome
Description: partial contains 5.8S ribosomal RNA, internal transcribed spacer 2, and large subunit ribosomal RNA
Rfam family: 5.8S ribosomal RNA (bases 1-120)
Source: RNAcentral